GCGGGCGGGCGGCAGCGCCGCGGGGUGCGGAGCCGCGCGGAGCCGCCCGGAGCCGCGGCCGCACCGCGCCGGCCCGGCAGCGCCCCGCGGGCGGCGGAAACAUGAACCAGACGGCGACCGUGUCCCACCACGUCCCGUGCCAGCCGCCCGCCGCCGCCAAGGUCUCUCUCGGAAAAUACUGGGGAGCAGAGUGCAGCGUGGUGCUUGCUCAGGGAAGUGCUCCUCCGUUAGAGCUGGUACAGCCGAUGCUAAUUUUUCACUGACAGCGACAUUUAUUAAAUUUGACUGGACUUCUAAGCCAAAACAACAACAACAAAUGUCAAUACGCCAUUAAAAAAAAGAGACCCAGACAAGUCAAUAGUCUUCAGAAAGAGAGAACAUGAUUCAGAGCCUUCUAGACAUGGGUCCGUUAUACAUCCAACACAGUAAUACUGAUGCCAUUAGAAUACUGUCUCAUUUUUCUGCUCUUAAUUUAAUGUGUCAGGUGUAAAAUGUGCUUUAUAAAUAGUUUCAAGUGCUUCCACGCUAAGCAGAUGGAUACUUCAUUACAGAGUAUAUAUGACACUAGACAGGUAGUAAUUGCCCUGUGGUAAUGGGGAACUAAUAUUGAAGAUUAUUUCUAAAAUACACCAUUAAUGACCAGACAAGUACAAGUUGCAUAUUAACUCUCUCUUGCCAAGAAACAUUGUUAAUUCCAGCAAUUAUGAAAGUGCCAAAAAACAAAGUUACGGAAAAACUUUACACCUGCUGGCAGGAUAUCUGUGUAAACCAGUCUUUCUUCUUUUUUUAUUAUUCUUUACAUUCCUCUCCAAUAAACAGAGUAAUUACAUCUCA
Long non-coding RNA from Dromaius novaehollandiae (emu), 834 nucleotides. RefSeq lists it as uncharacterized. The transcript is spliced from 2 exons. The record is from RefSeq and is a predicted model, not a curated record. Lineage: Eukaryota; Metazoa; Chordata; Aves; Casuariiformes; Dromaiidae.